Molecule: ribosomal RNA, 501 nt
Filed under: uncultured bacterium
Lineage: Bacteria
Description: partial 16S ribosomal RNA
Rfam family: Bacterial small subunit ribosomal RNA
Source: RNAcentral
AUUGAACGCUGGCGGCAGGCUUAACACAUGCAAGUCGAGCGGAGAGAGGUAGCUUGCUACUGAUCUUAGCGGCGGACGGGUGAGUAAUGCUUAGGAAUCUGCCUAUUAGUGGGGGACAACAUUUCGAAAGGAAUGCUAAUACCGCAUACGUCCUACGGGAGAAAGCAGGGGAUCUUCGGACCUUGCGCUAAUAGAUGAGCCUAAGUCGGAUUAGCUAGUUGGUGGGGUAAAGGCCUACCAAGGCGACGAUCUGUAGCGGGUCUGAGAGGAUGGUCCGCCACACUGGGACUGAGACACGGCCCAGACUCCUACGGGAGGCAGCAGUGGGGAAUAUUGGACAAUGGGCGCAAGCCUGAUCCAGCCAUGCCGCGUGUGUGAAGAAGGCCUUAUGGUUGUAAAGCACUUUAAGCGAGGAGGAGGCUACUUUAGUUAAUACCUAGAGAUAGUGGACGUUACUCGCAGAAUAAGCACCGGCUAACUCUGUGCCAGCCGCCGCGGUAA